Molecule: transfer RNA, 69 nt
Filed under: Doa sp. MJT-2014
Lineage: Eukaryota; Metazoa; Arthropoda; Insecta; Lepidoptera; Doidae
Description: tRNA-Asp
Source: RNAcentral
AAAGAAUUAGUUAAAACAUAACAUAAAUAUGUCAAAUUUAAAUUAUUAUUAUUAUUAUAAUAUUCUUUU